Molecule: ribosomal RNA, 136 nt
Filed under: uncultured eukaryote
Lineage: Eukaryota
Description: partial 18S ribosomal RNA
Rfam family: Eukaryotic small subunit ribosomal RNA
Source: RNAcentral
UGGUGGAGUGAUUUGUCUGCUUAAUUGCGAUAACGAACGAGACCUUGACCUCUAAAUAGCUCGCACCGCUCCGGCGGUGUUGCGGCUUCUUAGUGGGACUAUCGGCUCAAGCCGAUGGAAGUUCGAGGCAAUAACA